Molecule: ribosomal RNA, 433 nt
Filed under: uncultured bacterium
Lineage: Bacteria
Description: partial 16S ribosomal RNA
Rfam family: Bacterial small subunit ribosomal RNA
Source: RNAcentral
AACGAACGCUGGCGGCAUGCCUAACACAUGCAAGUCGAACGAGACCUUCGGGUCUAGUGGCGCACGGGUGCGUAACGCGUGGGAACCUGCCCUUAGGUUCGGAAUAACUCCCCGAAAGGGGUGCUAAUACCGGAUAAUGUCUUCGGACCAAAGAUUUAUCGCCUUUGGAUGGGCCCGCGUUGGAUUAGCUAGUUGGUAGGGUAAAAGCCUACCAAGGCGACGAUCCAUAGCUGGUCUGAGAGGAUGAUCAGCCACACUGGGACUGAGACACGGCCCAGACUCCUACGGGAGGCAGCAGUGGGGAAUAUUGGACAAUGGGCGAAAGCCUGAUCUAGCAAUGCCGCGUGAGUGAUGAAGGCCUGAGGGUUGUAAAGCUCUUUUACCCGGGAUGAUAAUGACAGUACCGGGAGAAUAAGCUCCGGCUAACUCCGUG